RNAcentral lists this small RNA (29 nucleotides) under Bombyx mori (domestic silkworm). Its description in RNAcentral is "ovarian small RNA-20075". Lineage: Eukaryota; Metazoa; Arthropoda; Insecta; Lepidoptera; Bombycidae. The record is from RNAcentral.
UACAACUCGUAUGACAUUAUCUGAGCCGG